AGUUCCUGGACUUUCCCCUGGCAUUGACAGAGGAGAUGGGGCCCUGAAUGCGGUGAGUACUACCACCAGUUCGAAAGAAGGGGGGUUAGGACAGAAAGAUAAUUGUGUCAUGGAGUCAAGGCGGAUCGCCUUGGAGCUGUCAAAGGGGUGAAGGAUAUUUCGCUUGCUCCGGGUCAUCAGCGCUCAGAGACACGGCUGGGAGUGUGCCGGAAGCUGAAGCAAUCUGGAAGUGACAGGCCAGCGUCAGGGGGAGAAGCCUUAGUGAAAGAGCCACUGAGUCACCACAGUCUCUGUCUGGAGCGGCAGCCUUGGAGCCAGACGCCGCCACAGCCGAGACGCAAGAAGAUGUCACAGAGGGUCCAGGGUGACUGUGACUGAACAGCUGGGUUGCCACAGCUCUGAGCUACAGGAAUACCGUUUUGUUACUAUUACUGUGGCCUUACCGGCCACCCCUCCCCCAAGACAAGGAUCAAACCUCAGCAUCCAAGAACCCUGACGGCAUGAAAGUUAUGACUUGAAGAGCGAUGAGCUGCUCGUGGCAGAAAACCAGGUCCCGUUGACAGAAAGGAUGGAAUGAGUUCUGCCUCUUUCCUCCUGGUGUGGCCCGAGAGCCGCCGAACUUCGCCGUUGCUUUCUAUGUUUUGAAAAUGUGAACAUGUUUCAAGGGGAUUUGAGAAACACUUGGUCGGUGGUUGCAGGGAUUUCCGCAGAAGGGCUCCGAGGAGCCAAAAGCAUCACGGGCCUCUGUCCUUGCCCUCAGAACGUUGGAAUGGUCGUGACACGAACUACAGUCGACCUCGGUGGCUGGGGAGGUUUUGCAGCGCGUAAGCAGCUCUUUUUAGGCAAGAUGGAGGCUGACAGAGCUGCACUCAACCACCAAGGAUGUUGCCAUGGAGCUUGUGAGGAAAGGGUCUACCUCUGCUGAUGGCUCCCCCUUUCCCUUCCGG
RNAcentral lists this long non-coding RNA (947 nucleotides) under Felis catus (domestic cat). RNAcentral describes it as "lncRNA (ENSFCAG00000051522.1)". The record is from RNAcentral. Lineage: Eukaryota; Metazoa; Chordata; Mammalia; Carnivora; Felidae.